RNAcentral lists this ribosomal RNA (295 nucleotides) under uncultured soil bacterium. RNAcentral's name for it is "partial 16S ribosomal RNA". It matches the Rfam family "Bacterial small subunit ribosomal RNA", at positions 26 to 352 of the family's 1533-position model. The record is from RNAcentral.
AGAACGAACGCUGGCGGCAUGCCUAAUACAUGCAAGUCGAACGAACACUUCGGUGUUAGUGGCGCACGGGUGCGUAACGCGUGGGAAUCUGCCCUUGGGUUCGGAAUAACAGUUGGAAACGACUGCUAAUACCGGAUGAUAUCGAAAGAUCAAAGAUUUAUCGCCCAGGGAUGAGCCCGCGUAGGAUUAGCUAGUUGGUGAGGUAAAGGCUCACAAGGCGACGAUCCUAGCUGUCUGAGAGGAUGAUCAGCCACACGUGGGACUGAGACACGACCCAGACUCCGACGGGAGCAGC